RNAcentral lists this long non-coding RNA (210 nucleotides) under Brassica napus (rape). Its description in RNAcentral is "long non-coding RNA (BNAP_LNC021980)". The record is from RNAcentral. Lineage: Eukaryota; Viridiplantae; Streptophyta; Magnoliopsida; Brassicales; Brassicaceae.
AAAUAACUAUAAGUAGAUUAGAAGAGAUUACCCAAGGUGCGUUGGGUUAGUGGUUUAGUGCUUGGAGUAGGUUCCAUUGCACCCCUAGUUCGAUUCCCAUGGGGAGGGGUGCUUUACGCCAUGUUAUCGGUAUCACCCCGAACCCAUCCUGGUUUAAAAAAAUGUAGAUUAGAAGAGAAAGAGGUUUAUGAAAAAAUAAAUUCAACAUGA